RNAcentral lists this ribosomal RNA (197 nucleotides) under uncultured bacterium. RNAcentral describes it as "partial 16S ribosomal RNA". It matches the Rfam family "Bacterial small subunit ribosomal RNA", at positions 328 to 539 of the family's 1533-position model. The record is from RNAcentral.
ACGCUCGACACCUACGGGGGCAGCAGUGGGGAAUAUUGCACAAUGGGGGAAACCCUGAUGCAACGACGCCGCGUGAAGGAAGAAGUAUCUCGGUAUGUAAACUUCUAUCAGCAGGGAAGAAAGUGACGGUACCUGACUAAGAAGCCCCGGCUAACUACGUGCCAACAGCCGCGGUAAUCUGAGCGGGCUGGCAAGGC